AAUUUUUUUAUUUUAACUUCUAAUUAUUUUAGCCAAACUAAUAUCUUAAAUGAAAAUUUAUUUAGUUACUCCUACACUAUUUUUUCUAUUAAAAUUCAUAUUUAACAAAUAAAAAGAUGAAAAAUAUAAAAUUAGUGGGGCUAUAAUACUUUUUAUAUAGUAGCAACCGCUUGUUACUAUCAACUUUUUUAUCCUAAACUUUUUUUUUUUUUGGAAAUUGAGCUUCUGUGCUUGUAAAAGUAUCAAGUCAUUGGUGCUGGUAGGUUUUCGGCCCUUUAAUAAAGAGAUUUGUGGUUAGAUGAUAGUAGCCCUUUAGGUUGAGUGGAUGAUUAAUUGAUUAAUAUAAUCUAACGGAUGAAAAUAGUCUAAAUGAGUAGAUCUAAUAGUGAAAAACCUAAAAGCACCAUUGCUGGACUUUUUUACUUUAUAUAUGGAAUUAAAAAUUAAUUUUUAGGCUUUGGAGUUGUUAUUAUUAUUUUAUAGAUCCAAAGACUAGAGAGUUGAUAGUAAAAAAAAGUUUUCUAUUAUCAGUAGUAUUUUAGUGCAAGUGAU
This 552-nucleotide long non-coding RNA is filed under the name Ananas comosus (pineapple). RNAcentral describes it as "long non-coding RNA (ACOM_LNC002156)". Lineage: Eukaryota; Viridiplantae; Streptophyta; Magnoliopsida; Poales; Bromeliaceae. The record is from RNAcentral.